AUGCACGCUGGCGGCGUGCCUAAUACCUGCAAGUCGAGCGAACAGACGAGGAGCUUGCUCCUCUGACGUUAGCGGCGGACGGGUGAGUAACACGUGGAUAACCUACCUAUAAGACUGGGAUAACUUCGGGAAACCGGAGCUAAUACCGGAUAAUAUAUUGAACCGCAUGGUUCAAUAGUGAAAGACGGUUUUGCUGUCACUUAUAGAUGGAUCCGCGCCGCAUUAGCUAGUUGGUAAGGUAACGGCUUACCAAGGCGACGAUGCGUAGCCGACCUGAGAGGGUGAUCGGCCACACUGGAACUGAGACACGGUCCAGACUCCUACGGGAGGCAGCAGUAGGGAAUCUUCCGCAAUGGGCGAAAGCCUGACGGAGCAACGCCGCGUGAGUGAUGAAGGUCUUCGGAUCGUAAAACUCUGUUAUUAGGGAAGAACAAAUGUGUAAGUAACUAUGCACGUCUUGACGGUACCUAAUCAGAAAGCCACGGCUAACUACGUG
RNAcentral lists this ribosomal RNA (496 nucleotides) under uncultured bacterium. RNAcentral's name for it is "partial 16S ribosomal RNA". It matches the Rfam family "Bacterial small subunit ribosomal RNA", at positions 29 to 507 of the family's 1533-position model. The record is from RNAcentral.